This 527-nucleotide ribosomal RNA is filed under the name Mantidactylus incognitus. RNAcentral describes it as "partial 16S ribosomal RNA". It matches the Rfam family "Bacterial large subunit ribosomal RNA", at positions 1854 to 2597 of the family's 2925-position model. The record is from RNAcentral. Lineage: Eukaryota; Metazoa; Chordata; Amphibia; Anura; Mantellidae.
CAGCCUGCCCAGUGAUAAAAAUUCAACGGCCACGGUAUCCUAACCGUGCGAAGGUAGCAUAAUCACUUGUUCUUUAAAUAGGGACUUGUAUCAACGGCAUCACGAGGGUUAUACUGUCUCCUUUCUCUAAUCAGUGAAAUUAAUCUCCCCGUGAAGAAGCGGGGAUAUACCUAUAAGACGAGAAGACCCCAUGGAGCUUCAAACCCAACUACACCCCUAACUCCUAUAACCACUGAGCCCUAAGAGUCCUGUAUCGUUGGUUUUAGGUUGGGGCGACCACGGAGUACAACAAAACCUCCACAACGAACGGGAUUACUCCCUCAUCUAAGAACUACACCUCUAAGAAUUAGUAGACUAACAUAAAAUGACCCAUUUUUGAUCAAUGAACCAAGUUACCCCGGGGAUAACAGCGCAAUCCAUUUCAAGAGCCCUUAUCGACAAAUGGGUUUACGACCUCGAUGUUGGAUCAGGGUAUCCUAGUGGUGCAGCAGCUACUAACGGUUCGUUUGUUCAACGAUUAAAACCCU